AUAUAUAAGAUUAUUGUAACAAGUUUAUCUAGCUAUAAAAAUACUCCAAUUAUAUAUUCUUAAGCUUUUCAUCACCCAAACAUUUUUGCUACUCAAUUUAAUAUUCAAACUAAUUAUUUUUUUCUCAUUUUAAUACACUUACUUUUAAAACUAUGCCUAUUUUAAUAUCCAAACUACACUAAUUUUAAUAAACCAAAUAUUAAUAAGUUUCAGACAAAGCUUAAACAAUAUCUAAAAUUAAAAUUUAAAUCUUAAAAUUUUCAAAAUUUAUUUAAAUUUUAAGAAUAAAAUUAACUAAGUUUUGGAUAGUAUUUUAAAAUUUAGAAAAAAACAUUUUGAAUAAAAUAAAUAAAUUAUUUUUAAACUUUAAAAAACAAAAAUAAAUUUGAAAUUAAAACUAAAACUAAUAUUAAAAAAACAAUUCAAGAUUAUCCAAAUAUAGUUACUUUUAUUCUUAAAAGUUAAAAUAAAAUUUAAUAAUUUUAAGAUUUUUUGAAAUUUUAGAGAUUUCUAAGUUUUGUUUGAAAGUUAUUAUUAACAUGAGCAUACUUUAGGUAUUAAAAUGAGCAUAUUUUAAAAGUAAAUGUAUUAAAAUGAGAAAAAUAAUUAGUUUAGGGAAUAAAAAAAGUUUGGGUAUUAAAAAGUUUAACAAAAUUUAGUUGCGUUAUUUUUAUGGAAUUUUCCCUUUUAAGAAUUAACCUUUGUUUCUAAAUAUAAUUUUUUUGUAAUAAUCAUACUUUAUAGAUCGAAUGGUCAUAGUCAAUGGUCAAUCAUAUCUGGUUUAGUAAUGUUCCUAAUUUUUUCUUUGACUUGUGGAAUCUUAUACACCACUUAUUUAGACAAAGAAGAAAGAAAAAAGUAACACAUUAACAAUAUUGUGCUUUUUGUCAUCAAGGAUAUUUUGUUUAAAAGUGGUAUUUAAUGUUUUUGCACAUGGAUUAAUAUUUUUUUUAUUUUUUAUAUAAUUUAUCUUGGUUACAUAUGAAUAUCAUUAAAUAAAGUUAAUUCAACCAAUAAAAAAGUAGUCACGAAAUUCAAAUGAUAUUAAAUUCUAUUUAGAAUAGUGAAUAAUCGCUGCAAAAAUAUUUUCUUUAAACACCACUUAAAUUGAUAUGGUAGAAUUAUACAGCAAGAUUUUCUAAAUAAUCUAUAAGAAGAAAAUAUAUGUGCAUAUAUGUUAGGUAAAGAAAAAAAAGACUAGUCAAAAUGAUAAUUAAUGGAUAAAUAUAUUGCCUCUUUAAAAUUAUUUGGUGACAUAACAUACUUUAUAUUUAUCUUAAAUAUUUUAUUUUGUAUAAAUAAUACCAAGAAUAUAAAAUCACAGUUUUCAGGAGAAGCACAUCACAAGAUUGCUUAAAACGUCAAAACCAUGAAAAUACAGGCAUCCUUGAUAUUCAUGUUCAUCCUCUCUUUCUUUGCUUUACAUCAGUGUGCAAAGACGAAUGUUAAAGGAAUAGAGGAUUCAAACAUAGUCAUAACAUCAAAUUGUGUUCAGGCUGGGUGUUUUCAUAUAUUUAAAAAAGAUUGUUGGUGUUGUCCAGGACCAGGACGCAAAUGUUGGAAAGACAAAGCUUCGUGUGAUGCUAUAUGUCCUCGUCCUCCAAAAUAAUGUAAUAAAUCUUAAUUUAUUAGAGAUUGUUGUUCAGUGACGCAUAUUAAAGUAUUCAAUAAUAAAAAAUAAAUUAGUUUUACCUACA
Brassica napus (rape) is the source of this 1697-nucleotide long non-coding RNA. RefSeq lists it as uncharacterized. The record is from RefSeq and is a predicted model, not a curated record. NCBI's taxonomy places the organism in Eukaryota, Viridiplantae, Streptophyta, Magnoliopsida, Brassicales, Brassicaceae. The transcript has 2 exons.